GCGGGAACCUCAGGAGGGGUAACCCAUCUGAGGGGAGAGCGGCGAACGGGUGAGUAUCACGUGGGCAACCUGCCCCGGACACCGGGAUAACCCAGGGAAACCUGAGCUGAUACCGGAUACUCCGGAGCGAUCACAUGGUCGCUCCGGGAAAGCCUCGACGGUCCGGGAUGGGCCCGCGGCCUAUCAGCUUGUUGGCGGGGUAACGGCCCACCAAGGCGACGACGGGUAGCUGGUCUGAGAGGACGGCCAGCCACACUGGGACUGAGACACGGCCCAGACUCCUACGGGAGGCAGCAGUGGGGGAUCUUGCGCGAAUGCGCGAAAGCGUGACGCAGCGACGCCGCGUGGGGGAUGAAGGCCCUCGGGUCGUAAACCCCUUUCGGCAGGGACGAAGCGAAAGUGACGGUACCUGCAGAAGAAGUCCCGGCUAACUACGUGCCAGCAGCCGCGGCAACACGUAGGGGACGAGCGUUGCCGGAUUAUUGGGCGUAAAGCGCGCGUAGGCGGCCCGGAAAGUCGGUUGUGAAACCCGGGGCUCACCCCGGGACUGCAUCCGAUACUUCCGGGCUGGAGGAGGUAGGGGAGAUCGGAUUCCUGGUGUAGCGGUGAAAUGCCAGAUUCAGGAGGAACCCGGUGGCGAAGGCGGAUCUCUGGGCUUGCUGACCUGAGGGCGAAACUAGGGAGCGAAAGGAUUGAUACCUGGUAGUCCUACCGUAACUUGGGGCUAGUGUGGCGGAUUCGACCCGUCGUGCGAACUACGAUUAGCACCCCCUGGGAGUACGGCGCAGGCUAAACUCAAGGAUUACGGGG
Molecule: ribosomal RNA, 810 nt
Filed under: uncultured Actinomycetes bacterium
Lineage: Bacteria; Bacillati; Actinomycetota; Actinomycetes
Description: bacterial SSU rRNA
Rfam family: Bacterial small subunit ribosomal RNA
Source: RNAcentral